RNAcentral lists this transfer RNA (85 nucleotides) under Felis catus (domestic cat). It matches the Rfam family "tRNA". From Rfam's summary of the family: Transfer RNA (tRNA) molecules are approximately 80 nucleotides in length. Their secondary structure includes four short double-helical elements and three loops (D, anti-codon, and T loops). Further hydrogen bonds mediate the characteristic L-shaped molecular structure. tRNAs have two regions of fundamental functional importance: the anti-codon, which is responsible for specific mRNA codon recognition, and the 3' end, to which the tRNAs corresponding amino acid is attached (by aminoacyl-tRNA synthetases). tRNAs cope with the degeneracy of the genetic code in two manners: having more than one tRNA (with a specific anti-codon) for a particular amino acid; and 'wobble' base-pairing, i.e. permitting non-standard base-pairing at the 3rd anti-codon position. The record is from Rfam by way of RNAcentral. Lineage: Eukaryota; Metazoa; Chordata; Mammalia; Carnivora; Felidae.
GCCAGGGUGGCUCAGUCGGUUGAGCGUCCGACUUCGGCUCAGGUCAUGAUCUCAUGGUUUGUGGGUUCAAGCCCCACAUCGGGCU